This 73-nucleotide transfer RNA is filed under the name Streptococcus infantarius subsp. infantarius. Its description in RNAcentral is "tRNA-Glu". It matches the Rfam family "tRNA", at positions 13 to 71 of the family's 71-position model. From Rfam's summary of the family: Transfer RNA (tRNA) molecules are approximately 80 nucleotides in length. Their secondary structure includes four short double-helical elements and three loops (D, anti-codon, and T loops). Lineage: Bacteria; Bacillati; Bacillota; Bacilli; Lactobacillales; Streptococcaceae. The record is from RNAcentral.
UAAGCUGUGUAUAAGUGACAGAGACACCGCCUUUUCACGGCGGUAACACGGGUUCGAAUCCCGUACGGACUAU